UAAACUUUUGAAAUACCCAGUUGUUGCCCAGCUAUGCAACCCAAGAGGAGGGGUGAAUUAGAUUUUUUAAAAAUUUAAACUUAACUUACAACUAUGAAGAUUAUUUAACAAUGAGCAAGAUAAGUAUGGAGAGUGUAAUUUAUGCAAGGUAUAGAAGUUGGAUGCAAGAAUGCAAGAGGAUACAGAAAUUUAAAAGGAGAGCAAGUAAGCACAACAC
RNAcentral lists this long non-coding RNA (217 nucleotides) under Elaeis guineensis (African oil palm). Its description in RNAcentral is "long non-coding RNA (EGUI_LNC021814)". Lineage: Eukaryota; Viridiplantae; Streptophyta; Magnoliopsida; Arecales; Arecaceae. The record is from RNAcentral.